This 253-nucleotide ribosomal RNA is filed under the name uncultured bacterium. Its description in RNAcentral is "partial 16S ribosomal RNA". It matches the Rfam family "Bacterial small subunit ribosomal RNA", at positions 524 to 776 of the family's 1533-position model. The record is from RNAcentral.
UACGUAGGGGGCAAGCGUUAUCCGGAAUUACUGGGUGUAAAGGGUGAGUAGGCGGCAUGGUAAGCCAGAUGUGAAAGCCUUGGGCUUAACCCGAGGAUUGCAUUUGGAACUAUCAAGCUAGAGUACAGGAGAGGAAAGCGGAAUUCCUAGUGUAGCGGUGAAAUGCGUAGGUAUUAGGAAGAACACCAGUGGCGAAGGCGGCUUUCUGGACUGAAACUGACGCUGAGGCACGAAAGCGUGGGGAGCGAACAGG